GAUGAACGCUGGCGGCGUGCCUAAUACAUGCAAGUCGAGCGAACAGACGAGGAGCUUGCUCCUCUGACGUUAGCGGCAGACGGGUGAGUAACACGUGGAUAACCUACCUAUAAGACUGGGAUAACUUCGGGAAACCGGAGCUAAUACCGGAUAAUAUAUUGAACCGCAUGGUUCAAUAGUGAAAGACGGUUUUGCUGUCACUUAUAGAUGGAUCCGCGCCGCAUUAGCUAGUUGGUAAGGUAACGGCUUACCAAGGCGACGAUGCGUAGCCGACCUGAGAGGGUGAUCGGCCACACUGGAACUGAGACACGGUCCAGACUCCUACGGGAGGCAGCAGUAGGGAAUCUUCCGCAAAGGGCGAAAGCCUGACGGAGCAACGCCGCGUGAGUGAUGAAGGUCUUCGGAUCGUAAAACUCUGUUAUUAGGGAAGAACAAAUGUGUAAGUAACUAUGCACGUCUUGACGGUACCUAAUCAGAAAGCCACGGCUAACUACGUG
RNAcentral lists this ribosomal RNA (497 nucleotides) under uncultured bacterium. RNAcentral's name for it is "partial 16S ribosomal RNA". It matches the Rfam family "Bacterial small subunit ribosomal RNA", at positions 28 to 507 of the family's 1533-position model. The record is from RNAcentral.